CCUACGGGAGGCAGCAGUAGGGAAUUUUCCACAAUGGGCGAAAGCCUGAUGGAGCAACGCCGCGUGGGUGAAGAAGGUCUUCGGAUCGUAAAACCCUGUUGUUAGAGAAGAAAGUGCGUGAGAGUAACUGUUCACGUUUCGACGGUAUCUAACCAGAAAGCCACGGCUAACUACGUGCCAGCAGCCGCGGUAAUACGUCGGUGGCAAGCGUUAUCCGGAUUUAUUGGGCGUAAAGGGAACGCAGGCGGUCUGUUAAGUCUGAUGUGAAAGCCUUCGGCUUAACCGGAGUAGUGCAUUGGAAACUGGGAGACUUGAGUGCAGAAGAGGAGAGUGGAACUCCAUGUGUAGCGGUGAAAUGCGUAGAUAUAUGGAAGAACACCAGUGGCGAAAGCGGCUCUCUGGGCUGUAACUGACGCUGAGGUUCGAAAGCGUGGGUAGCAAACAGGAUUAGAUACCCCUGUAGUC
RNAcentral lists this ribosomal RNA (465 nucleotides) under uncultured bacterium. RNAcentral's name for it is "partial 16S ribosomal RNA". It matches the Rfam family "Bacterial small subunit ribosomal RNA", at positions 338 to 795 of the family's 1533-position model. The record is from RNAcentral.